RNAcentral lists this ribosomal RNA (174 nucleotides) under uncultured archaeon. Its description in RNAcentral is "partial 16S ribosomal RNA". The record is from RNAcentral.
GCUCUCCUUGAUUCUUGGAUAUUUAUAUUUCAMCCAUUCCAUGUAAAAUUUCUUUUACGAAAUCUUACUUGUCAUUUCACGUCACUACCUCCUCAUACUGAGAUUGGGUAAUUUUCGCGCCUGCUGCGCCCCGUGGGGCGGGGGCGGCGGGACGGGCGCGGGGCGCGGCGGGCG